RNAcentral lists this small RNA (127 nucleotides) under Marmota monax (woodchuck). The record is from RNAcentral. Lineage: Eukaryota; Metazoa; Chordata; Mammalia; Rodentia; Sciuridae.
GCUGGGUGUGGUGGCUCAUGCCUGUAAUCACAGCAGCUGGGGAGGCUGAGGCAGGAGAACUGCAAGUUCAAAGCCAGCCUCAGACACUUAGUGGGACCCUAAGCAACUUAGCAAGAACCUGUCUCAA